This 468-nucleotide ribosomal RNA is filed under the name uncultured bacterium. RNAcentral's name for it is "partial 16S ribosomal RNA". It matches the Rfam family "Bacterial small subunit ribosomal RNA", at positions 28 to 507 of the family's 1533-position model. The record is from RNAcentral.
GACGAACGCUGGCGGCGUGCUUAACACAUGCAAGUCGAACGGUGAAGCUCCAGCUUGCUGGAGUGGAUCAGUGGCGAACGGGUGAGUAACACGUGAGCAACCUGCCCCUGACUCUGGAAUAAGCGCUGGAAACGGCGUCUAAUACUGGAUACGAGAAGGGCCCGCAUGGGCACUUUCUGGAAAGUUUUUCGGUUGGGGAUGGGCUCGCGGCCUAUCAGCUUGUUGGUGAGGUAAUGGCUCACCAAGGCGACGACGGGUAGCCGGCCUGAGAGGGCGACCGGCCACACUGGGACUGAGACACGGCCCAGACUCCUACGGGAGGCAGCAGUGGGGAAUAUUGCACAAUGGGCGAAAGCCUGAUGCAGCGACGCCGCGUGAGGGAUGACGGCCUUCGGGUUGUAAACCUCUUUCAGCAGGGAAGAAGCGAAAGUGACGGUACCUGCAGAAGAAGUACCGGCUAACUACGUG